GACGAACCGUGCGAACGUUGUUCGGAAUCACUGGGCUUAAAGGGCGCGUAGGCGGGCGGCCAAGUCUGGAGUGAAAUCCCCCAGCUUAACUGGGGAACAGCUUCGGAUACUGGCCGUCUCGAGUGGGGUAGGGGCGUGUGGAACUGUAGGUGGAGCGGUGAAAUGCGUAGAUAUCGCUUGGAACGCCAAAGGUGAAAACAGGUUGCUGGGGUUGUGCCGACGCUGAGACACGAAAGCCAGGGGAGCAAACGGG
Molecule: ribosomal RNA, 253 nt
Filed under: uncultured bacterium
Lineage: Bacteria
Description: partial 16S ribosomal RNA
Rfam family: Bacterial small subunit ribosomal RNA
Source: RNAcentral